Molecule: ribosomal RNA, 253 nt
Filed under: uncultured bacterium
Lineage: Bacteria
Description: partial 16S ribosomal RNA
Rfam family: Bacterial small subunit ribosomal RNA
Source: RNAcentral
GACGAACCACACAAACGUUAUUCGGAAUUACUGGGCUUAAAGGGUGCGUAGGCGGCGCGGAAAGUUGGGUGUGAAAUCCCUCGGCUCAACCGAGGAACUGCGCCCAAAACUACCGUGCUCGAGGGAGAUAGAGGUGAGCGGAACUUAGGGUGGAGCGGUGAAAUGCGUUGAUAUCGGAAGGAACGCCGGUGGCGAAAGCGACGUGCUGGACCUCUUCUGACGCUGAGGCGCGAAAGCUAGGGGAGCGAACGGG